CUAAAUGGAGUGUCUCGGAUUUACUUACAGAAUAAUAUGAAAUGCUCUGAGACCAGGCUGCAACUGUUUCCCGUAUGUAUCAAGAAUGGUACACCAGUCAACGGACAUGCAGCCAACUUGACACAACUGUGGGAAGAGUGUGGAGUCGACAUGGGCCAGCAUCCCUGUGGAACGCUUUUGACACAUUGUGGAGUCCAAACCCUGAAGAAUUACGGAUGUUCUGAGGGCAAAAGGGGAAGCAACUCAAUAUUGGGAAGGCGUUCCUAAUGUUUCGUAUAUUCAGUGUACGUUCACAAUACAAUCCUUUGACUUGAAUUCAACAGUUUGAAUACAACAGUGUCAGCAUUAUUCUAUUAUUACGCACUUUGCCCAAAUUAUUUCGAGGUCUCUAAAGUGUCCAUACCCCAUUGAUUGGGGUACAUCUUACCUAAACCUGUCCACAUUGAUACCAUGCGCAAAUAGUUUCUCUCCAACGAAACCGAAAGAAAGUGAAAAUGUGAUUGAUCGCGGAAGUUUUUCUCGACUUGAUGGGACUGGAGUUUGGUGAAAUCCUAAGCCCACCGCCAGCAACCCAUGACGGAGAGGGAAACUAAAGACGACAACGGGGAUUCAGCAAUGUUGGUAACCACGCAUCUUCGGGAAAACCACUGCACAUCCUGGGUCCGCUUGCCAACGCUUAGACUUUUUUCAUUAAACCAUAUUUAAACAACCACAUAGGCGACUUACCGUUUGGAUACAAUGUACGCAGCCCUACCAUGAAUAACUCCCACCGCUCUUGCUGGCCCCCGAGGACAGGGAUUUGCUCGUCUGAAGAACAUUUAUAGAAAAUGAUAAAUGGUCGCAGUUGUAAAUGAGAACUUGUUCUCAACUGGCCUGCCUGGUUAAAUAAAGUGUGUGAACGGGCCUGUGCUCCGUAGCGUCUUGGUGUUUCUGCUGUUGGGUGUCUCCUACACUAAGCACAGGUGCAACUAUUCGGAGAUACUCGGCUCAUACAGAGAACUCAUCUUCGUUGAACUUCAGAAUUUGAAUCUGACUGGCAAUUUUGACACGUCCAAAGAGAGGGACCGUUGUCCCUCAGGAAAGGUGCAGCACGUUUUGCGCUCCAUCCAUGGUAUGACUCAGCAGUUCCUGUGCCAGAGCCGCAGGCAGGGCAUUAGACAACAGGGGGACAUGGAGAAACCAGUGGAGAUGAUGGAACAGCUGAUCAGACAGAACUGCAAACACACUAACCUGGUGAGAGGACAGAAGAGAGCCGCCCUGUGUGUGACUUCCCAGAGAACGAAGGGAAAGAAGAAGAAGAGGAUAAGGGCACUGAUAAACUGUUGGCAGAAGCUGCAGAGUGUGUACUUGCCCACAAAAUGAAUGGGAAAUACUAUGUUUUUCUUUGUUUUGGUGUUUUGGCAACCACACUGUGAACAGUUGAACACAUGCACAGAUAUUGCAGAAAUGCUGCAUCUCGCUCAUCUCAAUAUCUCCGGUGCUGCUCGAGGCGAUGACAUUCUACCUUUAAUAAUGGUUGUUAGAGGAUGGUAUACAAUGCAAUUCAAAUAUUUACUUGUAAUACUUUGUGCACACACAUAAAAAAUAUAUUAUCUCAUAAUCCAGAGAUUGCGAUUCCUUUUCUUAAACAUAUAUUUGGUAUUUGGCGUCAGCUAGUCUUACUGGGGUUCGACACAUAAUGAAAAAGACAUAACAGAAAAAAACACUAACAUGUAGUGCAUCUAUCAGUUAGACAUACAGUUGAAUUCGAACGUUUACAGACACUUAGGUUGGAGUCAUUAAAAUCCGCUUUUCAACCACUCCACACAUUUCUUGUUAACAAACUAUAGUUUUGGUAAGACGGUUAGGACAUCUACUUUGGCUUUAGAAGCUUCUGAUAGGCUAAUCGAUAUCAUUUGAGUCAAUUGGAGGUGUACCUGUGGAUGUAUUUCAAGGCCUACCUUCAAACUGCCUGAUUCUUUGAAUUUUCCCAUGAUGUCAAGCGAAGAUCAAAUCAAAGUGUGUUUGUCACGUGCGCCGAAUAUAACAGUGAAAUGCUGACUUACAGGCUCUAACCAAUAGUGCAAACAUGGUAUUAGGUGAACAAUAGGUAGGUAAAGAAAUAAAACAACAGUUAAAAGACAGGAUAUAGAAGUAGCGAGGCAACAUACAGACACCGGUUAGUCAGGCUGAUUGAGGUAGUCUGUACAUGUAGAUAUGGUUAAAGUGACUAUGCAUAUAUGAUGAACAGAGAGUAG
Molecule: long non-coding RNA, 2237 nt
Organism: Oncorhynchus tshawytscha (Chinook salmon)
Lineage: Eukaryota; Metazoa; Chordata; Actinopteri; Salmoniformes; Salmonidae
Source: Ensembl